GUUUACAGUAAUGUGAGUUCUGCUAGAUGAAGAGGUUAUAAUAUGAAAGCUUAAGCACAUCUAUCUAUAAUAAUAAUUUAGAGUUUUCUCUAACCUCCUUCCUCCACGUCCUCAAGGAGAGUGGGGCUUUCUUCGCCACGUGUCACCAAACUAGAGCAGUUCUGACUUCUGCACAACUCAUUUCACUAAUACCACUUAUUCGAAUUUGGGUUUUUGUUACAAAUUCAUAUUGAACCCAGUUCUUUAGCCCAGUCCCUAGAACAUCUUUUAGUAGCCCACCUGGCAUUAUGUUUGUUCCUGCUUCUUCUCCUUACGUCUGCGACAUAGCCGACGGAAAUACACAGAAACUUAAAGCGCCGAUUGAUCUUUGUAACGCCUCACCAAUCUUUUAAUCCAUUCUUUACUCCGAGUUUUUCCUUGAUUAAUUCACUCCUCCCACUUGAAGAAUUCGAUCUACCUCUUUGUUUUCCACUGUAACCACCGGCGGAAACUUCUGCUAUAAAUAUCGGAUUUUCUUAUGAUGCACAGUACAACCCAAACGAGAUCCAGAAACAUACUAUUUCCUAGCAACCGAUUCUGAUGGCGAAUUCAUACACUCUCCUUGCCGAUUUGAGAACCGAUGCUCUAACAUUGCCGAGGAGGUUUGUCUCCUCAAGUUCUAGGAGGCCAGCGGGGAACUGAUUGAUGAGAAUGUAAGCACCAUUUUCCUCCGACUAACCCUUUCCACAAAUACAUAUAUUUUGGUUUCUAACGUUUGGUUUUGCUCAUUUCGAACAGUCUUUUGUAGUGCCAUGUUUACUUAGGAUUCACAUAACACACCAAAUUCGUUGAGCUAGCAGCAACCAUCAACCUAAUGCCUCACGAGAUGUUUAGGUUAUUGAAGGGCAUCAAGACCAUUUUCAAUGACGUGACACAGAACACAGACCACAGAAAGUAUAAUGGCAUACUUGCAAAUUGACAGCUUCGUUUCAACUGCAGUUUUGAACAUGUGGCUCAGAAUUGACAAGUAUGCGUUAAUUGAAAAUUGACAGGUGAUAACCAUCCUGGUAACAACAUGUAAACACAACUAUUGAAUUCAAAUCCACUACUUUGAUAGCCACCAGUGACCACCAACCAAACUUUGGACAACUAUUGACAGUUAUUGAAUUCAACUCCACUACUUGUCUGUUGCACACGUUUGUUUCUGUUUAUCUGCAGGGAGGUGAUAACCAUCCUGGUAACGACAUGUCUGGAGCUGGAGCUGUGAAGACUAACCAACCUGAAUACAUGAUGGUCUGAUAACUGAAUUCAUUGAGGGAACAGCUGGGGUAAAUAAUGUUAGUUGUUGCUGAAGGAGGUGAUGUGGACCAACUCUUCCACCUGUUGAACAUGUUUUAGCUGGGUCUCCGGAUGAGAAUGAAACAAUUACGGAGGACAAGCGUGAAGGGAAAAAGCCAUUUAUUAUUUUCUAUCAGUAGCUGUUCUUUUUUGCCACCUUUAAAACUUUACCUACAAGGAAACAUAGUUGGUGCAAUGUUAAUGAAUAAUAAAGUUUUUUCA
Molecule: long non-coding RNA, 1539 nt
Organism: Brassica napus (rape)
Lineage: Eukaryota; Viridiplantae; Streptophyta; Magnoliopsida; Brassicales; Brassicaceae
Exons: 2
Source: RefSeq, a predicted model, not a curated record